RNAcentral lists this ribosomal RNA (281 nucleotides) under uncultured prokaryote. Its description in RNAcentral is "partial 16S ribosomal RNA". It matches the Rfam family "Bacterial small subunit ribosomal RNA", at positions 524 to 803 of the family's 1533-position model. The record is from RNAcentral.
UACGUAGGGGGCUAGCGUUAUCCGGAAUUACUGGGCGUAAAGGGUGCGUAUGCGGUCUUUCAAGCCAGAAGUGAAAGGCUACGGCUCAACCGUAGUAAGCUUUUGAAACUGGGAAACUUGAGUGCAGGAGAGGAGAGUGGAAUUCCUAGUGUAGCGGUGAAAUGCGUAGAUAUUAGGAGGAACACCAGUGGCGAAGGCGGCUUUCUGGACUGAUACUGACGCUGAGGAACGAAAGCGUGGGGAGCAAACAGGAUUAGAUACCCCCGUAGUCCCUGAGCGGG